CCUACGGGUGGCAGCAGUGAGGAAUAUUGGUCAAUGGGCGGGAGCCUGAACCAGCCAAGCCGCGUGAGGGAAGAAGGUACAGCGUAUCGUAAACCUCUUUUGUCAGGGAACAAAGGCGGGGACUAGUCCCCGGAUGAGGGUACCUGAAGAAAAAGAAUCGGCUAACUCCGUGCCAGCAGCCGCGGUAAUACGGAGGAUGCGAGCGUUAUCCGGAUUUAUUGGGUUUAAAGGGUGCGCAGGCGGUCUGUUAAGUCAGCGGUCAAAGCCCGGGGCUCAACCCCGGCCCGCCGUUGAAACUGGCAGUCUCGAGUUGGAGAGAAGUAUGCGGAAUGCGCGGUGUAGCGGUGAAAUGCAUAGAUAUCGCGCAGAACUCCGAUUGCGAAGGCAGCAUGCCGGCUCCACACUGACGCUGAGGCACGAAAGCGUGGGUAUCGAACAGGAUUAGAUACCCCAGUAGUC
RNAcentral lists this ribosomal RNA (459 nucleotides) under uncultured bacterium. RNAcentral's name for it is "partial 16S ribosomal RNA". It matches the Rfam family "Bacterial small subunit ribosomal RNA", at positions 338 to 795 of the family's 1533-position model. The record is from RNAcentral.